RNAcentral lists this transfer RNA (74 nucleotides) under bacterium. RNAcentral describes it as "tRNA-Gly". It matches the Rfam family "tRNA". From Rfam's summary of the family: Transfer RNA (tRNA) molecules are approximately 80 nucleotides in length. The record is from RNAcentral.
GCGGGCAUCGUACAGUGGUAGUACAGUUGCUUCCCAAGCAACAGACGGGAGUUCGAUUCUCCUUGCCCGCUCCA